RNAcentral lists this ribosomal RNA (254 nucleotides) under uncultured bacterium. RNAcentral describes it as "partial 16S ribosomal RNA". It matches the Rfam family "Bacterial small subunit ribosomal RNA", at positions 524 to 776 of the family's 1533-position model. The record is from RNAcentral.
GACGAACCGUGCGAACGUUAUUCGGAAUCACUGGGCUUAAAGCGCGUGUAGGCGGGCCGGCACGUCGGCCGCUGAAAUCCCCCGGCUCAACCGGGGAAGGGGCCUCGAUACGACCGGCCUGGAGGGGGGUAGGGGGAUCGGGAACUUCCGGUGGAGCGGUGAAAUGCGUUGAGAUCGGAAGGAACGCGCGCGGCGAACGCGCGGUCCUGGACCCCACCUGACGCUGAGACGCGAAAGCCAGGGGAGCGAACGGG